Molecule: long non-coding RNA, 1075 nt
Filed under: Capsicum annuum
Lineage: Eukaryota; Viridiplantae; Streptophyta; Magnoliopsida; Solanales; Solanaceae
Description: long non-coding RNA (CANN_LNC004759)
Source: RNAcentral
CCCAAAUUAGCUAGUCUAUUACAAACAUGAAAAAAAAACGUUUUACAAGUACUGUGUUCUUCUCUAUCUUGUUGAAAAAUAGUGAACACCCAUAGGGGAGGGUACAAAAACACUUGAAAAUUUGUUGCCACUAAGUUGUGUGCUCCUUGUUGAGACAAAACAUAUGCUACUUCAUUUCCCUCUCUAUUGUUAUGCCUAAGCAGUGGAUCUCCAACCUCGUUAACCAGUACCUGCAUUGAUCAAUUAAAUUAGUAUAAGGAGAUGAUUGUUCUGAAGAAGUUGCAGAACAUAAGUGGAUUCUGUUUCAAUUUCUAAUGGAAAACAGUGAUGCUCAAAGGCAAAAGUAAUGCCUUGAAAGAGAGCUUUAAGUUUCCACUUCAGAGGGGUUAAGGGCAUUUAUGGCUAGGUAUAAGCCUACCACCAUUUCUCCUUUAUCAUAUUGUAUGACUCCACCAAUGCCACCUUGAUGAGUAGAGGGUUUGAAAGUACCAUCUGUGUUAAGUUUGAAAAACCCAACCGGUGGGAGAACUAUUUGAUAAGGAUUUAUUUAAAAGGUAGGUAUAUCUAGGAAGGUGUUUAGAGUGUAGGUAUAGUUUAUCACUCAAGAGUUUAUAAAAUAAGGAGAGAUGAGGUUGUGCUAGUUAUGGUUAUAUUAUGGUUUCGAUUGAGCCAUGUAUGACACAAGGCAAAAGGGUAGAAAAUAUCCCAUUGGAGGAUAUGAUUUGGCAAGAGUAAUAUUUACUUUCGAAAUAGCAAUGAGCCAGAGUGGAUGGGAAUUGAAUUGAAAGAAGUUUGUGGGAUUUUGGCUACUGGAUAGGCGAAAAAGAUCUGGAAGGCAUCUUCAAUGCCGUUUCAGCAAAUAGGGCACUGGUUUGUAUCACUAACAUUGAUUUUAUGUAGAUAUUCCUUGCUGGGAGGCGAUUAUGGAGAGUUUGCCAAAGGAAGAAUUUGAUCUUUUGAAAAGUAUUAAGUUUCCAAAUUUAGUGAAAAUCUAUUAUGAAGGGAAUAAGAUUCCAAAGAAUUAUAUAAGUGGAAACAGUGGAAAAAAUACCAUGAUGAUUAAGGAAUAGAUGGG